RNAcentral lists this long non-coding RNA (827 nucleotides) under Capra hircus (goat). RNAcentral's name for it is "lncRNA (ENSCHIG00010031185.1)". Lineage: Eukaryota; Metazoa; Chordata; Mammalia; Artiodactyla; Bovidae. The record is from RNAcentral.
CUUGAUGGACAUGAGUUGAGCAAGCUCCGGGAGUUGGUGAUGGACAGGGAGGCCUGGCUGGCUGCAGUCCAUGGGGUCGCGAAAGAGUUGGACACGACUGAGCGACUGAACAACAAGAACAGAAACUAAGACAAAGGAAAGAUAAGACAGCGCCCGAGCACAGCUGUGUCCCACACGGUUCAGUCCUGCAGCCACUCUCCGUGCGCUGGAGUGUGAGGAGGAAGUGAGCCUCUGAGUGCUGGAGUGUGAGGAGGAGCGCGUUUACUACGGCAUCAUUGAGACCCAUUCCCAACAAGAUCCGGAACAAGAAAGGAGGGGGCAGGUGGGGAGCCAGCCUCCUCCCCCCUGUCCCUCACCCCCAGCUCCAACCAGGACCCCCCACCCCGGCUCAGCUCGUGAGAAGUUGCAGAGUCUGAAGUCCACCGAGGGGCUUUCCGGCCAGGCUCCCAUGCCAAAACCAAGGCCAGAGGCUGCAGCGCGCAGGAAGAGGCAGCCAAGAGCCCAGCCCUACCCAAUGGGGAAACUGAGGCACAGAGCCAUGCCACGACUUGCAGAGGCCCUGCAGGGCAGUCAACCAACCCCUGGGGUGUGGGGGGUGGAUGAGCCUUUUGCUGCGCCCCUUUGGGGAAGCCUGCGGAUUCCCUUCCCAGCACACGAUUUGUAAAUGCAUAAAAUAAAAGGCAUCGUGCUGCAGAGCAAACCAUUUCCACUGAAAUACAGCUACCGAAACAACAGCAAGCGUAGCUGCUUAUGCAGCAAUGAAUGAGGCUUCUCGCUGGUGUGCUAAUGGAGAUCCAAAGAUAGGUCUCUUGACCACCAGUAUGGAA